Carya illinoinensis is the source of this 1556-nucleotide long non-coding RNA. RefSeq lists it as uncharacterized. NCBI's taxonomy places the organism in Eukaryota, Viridiplantae, Streptophyta, Magnoliopsida, Fagales, Juglandaceae. The transcript has 2 exons. The record is from RefSeq and is a predicted model, not a curated record.
UAAUGCCAAAGCAUUUUUUUCUGUAUUAAAGGAGCAAACUAAGGUAAGCUACAUAUCAUCAUCCUUGAACUCUGAUUCCGCCAAUAUAUAAGCUCAAUUGGCUGCAGGCUGCGAUAAAGAUGGGUUCAGUAAGAGUAAAGAAACCCCAGGCAGUAUGCGUUCCAUACCCAGCACAAGGCCAUAUGAACCCCAUGAUGCAAUUAGCCAGGCUCGUACACUUCAAGGGUUUUCACAUAACCUUUGUCAACACUGAGUUACCACAAGCGCUUAAUCUGGUCCAAAGGAGCAGAUCACCUCAAGGGCGUGCCAGAUUUCUGCUUCGAAACCAUACCGGACGGGUUGCCACCUUCCAACCGUGAUGCAACCCAAGAUGUCCCUGCCCUUAGUGAUUCCACAAGAAAGAACUGCUUGGCAACCUUUAAAGAGCUAGUGCUUAAGCUCAAUUCUGUACAUGAGUCUGAAGUGCCUCCUGUUAGUUGCAUAAUAUCGGAUGGGACUAUGGGCUUUGCAAGUAAAGCUGCUGAAGAAUUAGGCAUCCCGGAGAUACAAUUCUGGACUGCAUCGGCUUGUGGCUUCUCUCGCCGAGUCGCCGCACGACCUCAUGCUGACCCAGUAACCACCCUUGCAGGCCGCGGUCGACACGCACCAUGCAAGAAGCUUUGAAAACAAAAAUAAUCCAAGUACCUUUGAAAGGAACAAAGCCUCUUUUGGUGAGUUCAGUGAAGGACAGAUAUCCCUGGAAGCCACAAGCCGAUGCAGUCCAGAAUUGUAUCUCCGGGAUGCCUAAUUCUUCAGCAGCUUUACUUGCAAAGCCCAUAGUCCCAUCCGAUAUUAUGCAACUAACAGGAGGCACUUCAGACUCAUGUACAGAAUUGAGCUUAAGCACUAGCUCUUUAAAGGGUGCCAAGCAGUUCUUUCUUGUGGAAUCACUAAGGGCAGGGACAUCUUGGGUUGCAUCACGGUCAGAAGGCGGCAACCCGUCCGGUAUGGUUUCGAAGCGGAAAUCUGGCAGGCCCUUGAAGUGAUCUGCUCCUCUGGACCGGAUUAAGCGCUUGUGGUUGAACUCAGUGUUGACAAAGGUUAUAUGAAAACCCUUGAAGUGUAGGAGCUUGGCUAAUUGCAUCAUGGGGUUCACAUGGCCUUGUGCUGGGUAUGGAACACAUGCUGCAUGGGGUUUCUUUACUCCUAUUGAACCCAUCUUUAUAGCAGCCUGCAGCCAAUUGACCCUAUAUAUUGGUGGAAUCAGAGUUCAAGAAUGAUGAUAUGUAGCUUUCCUUAGUUUGCUCCUUUUAUACAGAAAAAAAUGCUUUGGUAUUAGCCCUUAGACAGAAUAAAAAUAUCUCAUAAAGUCUUAUAAGAGACGUAACAAAAAUAAAUGCAUUUAUUAACGUCACAAGUGAUUAAGGAGUUCUCAGUCAACCAUUCUGCUCGAGGUUUUUCUCACAGUGACAUAAUUUCACAGGAACUUAAGCUUAAACAUGAUAGCUUGUAAACAUUAACGAGCAGAACCUCAUGAUGUCACUUCCUUGUCUAUAUAUUAAUUUGAUUAAUGCCUA